CCCCUAGAUGUUCUGGGCCGCACGCGCGCUACACUGAACAGUUCAACAAGUCUUAACCUUGGCCGAUAGGUCUGGGUAAUCUUUGAACGCUGUUCGUGAUUGGGAUAGACCUUUGCAAUUAUGGGUCUUCAACGAGGAAUGCCUAGUAAGCGCAAGUCAUCAGCUUGCGUUGAUUACGUCCCUGCCCUUUGUACACACCGCCCGUCGCUCCUACCGAUUGAAUGGUCCGGUGAAGCGUUCGGACCGUGGCCUUUGGACGGUUCGCCGUCUGUUGGCUGCGGGAAGUUCGUUAAACCUUNUNAUUUAUNGGAAGGAGAANUCGUANCA
This 327-nucleotide ribosomal RNA is filed under the name uncultured eukaryote. RNAcentral describes it as "partial 18S ribosomal RNA". It matches the Rfam family "Eukaryotic small subunit ribosomal RNA", at positions 1470 to 1796 of the family's 1831-position model. The record is from RNAcentral.